GACGAACGCUGGCGGCGUGCUUAACACAUGCCAGUCGAACGGGAUUUAGUAGACAGAAGCCUCGGCUAAAGAUUACUAAUGAGAGUGGCGAACGGGUGAGUAACGCGUGAGCAACCUGCCUAUGACAGUGGGAUAGCCUCGGGAAACCGGGAUUAAUACCGCAUAACAUCGUAGAAACACAUGUUUCAACGGUCAAAGAUUUAUCGGUCAUAGAUGGGCUCGCGUCUGAUUAGCUAGUUGGUGAGAUAACAGCCCACCAAGGCGACGAUCAGUAGCCGGUCUGAGAGGAUGAACGGCCACAUUGGAACUGAGACACGGUCCAAACUCCUACGGGAGGCAGCAGUGGGGAAUAUUGCACAAUGGGGGAAACCCUGAUGCAGCGACGCCGCGUGAACGAAGAAGGUAUUCGUAUCGUAAAGUUCUGUCCUAUGGGAAGAUAAUGACAGUACCAUAGAAGAAAGCUCCGGCUAAAUACGUG
Molecule: ribosomal RNA, 478 nt
Filed under: uncultured bacterium
Lineage: Bacteria
Description: partial 16S ribosomal RNA
Rfam family: Bacterial small subunit ribosomal RNA
Source: RNAcentral